Molecule: non-coding RNA, 1971 nt
Organism: Hydra vulgaris (swiftwater hydra)
Lineage: Eukaryota; Metazoa; Cnidaria; Hydrozoa; Anthoathecata; Hydridae
Source: RefSeq, a predicted model, not a curated record
AAAAAAAUAAUAAAAAAGUAUAUAUUUUUUGAUGCCCAUACUGCUCCAGCGGUACCACAAAUCAGGGUUAUUCCUUUUAUAUAUGUGGUUGUGUGUUCAGAAAAAGUAAAACUAAUAAUAUUAAAUUUACUGAUAUUUUAAAUAAUGUCUCUAAACACUGGGCGCAAGUGUGAUAUGAUUUGGUUAAAAUAUACAUGAGUUACUUCCAGAAAGAAAGGACUGUAGAGAAAUUUGUAAUGCAUGCAGAAAAGAAAUGGAAGGUCAAGUUCAAAGGAUGCAUAAAUGUCUAGAGAAAUGCAAACAAUCACAAGCCUUUGAAGUUAUUGAGUCAAUAGAAGAUCAACAACCUUUGGAAGGUAAUUCAUCAUUAACAUCACAUCAACAAAAAAAUGGAAAGGUCUCAGUCCACUUCAACUUCAGUUUGUAAAUGUUUGAAAAUAGAUAUAGUUUUUUAAACAAACAAGCAACAAAAAGAAAGAUGUUUGAUCUACAACUUGGUAUAUACAGUACAAACUCUAGAUUUAGAACAGUUAAACACAAAAAAGUUAAAAAGUUUAUCAAUAUGCUUCAUCCUGAUUACACUCUACCUAAUAGUACUCAAAUUGGAGGAGCAAUAUUUGAUAAGGUUUACACAGAAGAAAUUGAAAAAAGUUAUGUAUUAAAUGGGAAAAUUGUAGUAAUGACUUUAGAUGGAUGGAGUAAUGUGCACAACAAACCAAUAAUUGUUGCUGUUGUAAUUGCAGAUAAUGUUAACAUUUCAGCAAAUUAUACACAGAUGUAGAUGUUACAAUUAGUUCUUCUGGUCUUUCUUAUACUGGUGAAUAUCUUACACAAUUGGCAGGAGAAGAAAUAAAAUCUGUAACACAUAAAUUUGGAAGCACAGUAGAAAGUAUUGUGACUGACAAUGCAGCUAAUAUGAAAUCAAUGUGACAAGUAUUGUUAUCUGAAUGAGAUAUAAUAAUAACUUAUGGGUGUGUUGCUCAUAUACUAAAUCUUUUAGCAAUUGAUCUUAACAUUACAAAUAUGAGCAAGUGUGUUACUCAGAUAAUAAGAUAUUUACAAAAUAGUCAUCAGAGAUAUAAUAAUAACUUAUGGGUGUGUUGCUCAUAUACUAAAUAUUUUAGCAAUUGAUCUUAACAUUACAAAUAUGAGCAAGUGUGUUACUCAGAUAAUUAAAUAUUUACAAAAUAGUCAUCAAGCUGUAGCAAAUUAUAGAGAAAGUGGAGGAACAAAAUUACCACUUCUUGCUGAAACACAUUGCAGUUCUGUAUGUCAUUCAUUUAAAAAUAGAGCAUCAUUUUCACAAUGUUUAAAAAAUAAGUAGAGACAUGUAAUAUCCCACCAUCGGUAGAAAAGUGACAUAGAGAUAAAGCGAAAUGCAGAAUACUUGUUGAAAAUAUUAAAACCAAUUGGAGUUGCUCUUGAUAAGUUGCAAAGAGAUCAAACAAAAAUAAGUGACACUGUUGAAAUUUUUUUUGUUGAUAAACAUAGAGUUGAUAAACAUGUUACCAUUUAAUCAAUUAAAAAAAAAUAUUGGAAAAUAGAUAUCUUUAGACUCUCAGUGAUGCUCAUUUCUUUGCAAACAUGCUAGAUCCUAGAUAUUUUGGGUCUAUUCUUUCUGAUAAAAAAAAUGAAAAAUGAAGCUACAUUCACCUUUACAGAUAAAGAAUUUAAGAACUUGUAACCAAUUAUAUUCAAGUUAAAAGCCAGAUCUCCACCAUAACAGAAUAAUAGAAAUCUUUGACCUGCAACAUUAUCAUGGAUAUUGAAAGUUUAUUAAAUGCACCAGCUUCUAGUACUGAAAUCGAAGGAAUAUUUUUAACUUAUUGGCUUGUUCUUUCCAAGUUAAGAAGCAAGAUGGCAGUAGAAAAAGUGGCAAAGCUUGUUUUUAUAUACAGAUUAUUAAAUAAUGUAUUAAUUGAUGAAUUACAGCAGUAAUGUUAAUAAAAAAUAUAAUUUACUCAAUUAAAA